CAGCACCGCGGUAAUACAGAGGGUGCGAGCGUUAAUCGGAUUUACUGGGCGUAAAGCGUGCGUAGGCGGCUUCUUAAGUCGGAUGUGAAAUCCCUGAGCUUAACUUAGGAAUUGCAUUCGAUACUGGGAAGCUAGAGUAUGGGAGAGGAUGGUAGAAUUCCAGGUGUAGCGGUGAAAUGCGUAGAGAUCUGGAGGAAUACCGAUGGCGAAGGCAGCCAUCUGGCCUAAUACUGACGCUGAGGUACGAAAGCAUGGGGAGCAAACAGGAUUAGAUACCCCCGUAGUCCCUGUCUCUUAUACA
RNAcentral lists this ribosomal RNA (301 nucleotides) under uncultured bacterium. RNAcentral describes it as "partial 16S ribosomal RNA". It matches the Rfam family "Bacterial small subunit ribosomal RNA", at positions 509 to 808 of the family's 1533-position model. The record is from RNAcentral.